This 492-nucleotide ribosomal RNA is filed under the name uncultured bacterium. Its description in RNAcentral is "partial 16S ribosomal RNA". It matches the Rfam family "Bacterial small subunit ribosomal RNA", at positions 29 to 507 of the family's 1533-position model. The record is from RNAcentral.
AGUGAACGCUGGCGGUAGGCCUAACACAUGCAAGUCGAACGGCAGCACAGUAAGAGCUUGCUCUUACGGGUGGCGAGUGGCGGACGGGUGAGGAAUACAUCGGAAUCUACUUUUUCGUGGGGGAUAACGUAGGGAAACUUACGCUAAUACCGCAUACGACCUACGGGUGAAAGCAGGGGAUCUUCGGACCUUGCGCGUUUGAAUGAGCCGAUGUCGGAUUAGCUAGUUGGCGGGGUAAAGGCCCACCAAGGCGACGAUCCGUCGCUGGUCUGAGAGGAUGAUCGGCCACACUGGAGCGGAGACACGGUCCAGACUCCUACGGGAGGCAGCAGUGGGGAAUGUUGGACAAUGGUCGCAAGCCUGGUCCAGUCAUACCGCGUGUGAGAAGAAGGCCUUCGGGUUGUAAAGCCCUUUUGUUGGGAAAGAAAAGCAGCAGGUUAAUACCCCGCUGUUCUGACGGUACCCAAAGAAUAAGCACCGGCUAACUUCGUG